GACGAACGCUGGCGGCGUGCUUAACACAUGCAAGUCGAACGGAAAGGCCUUUUUUGGGGGGUACUCGAGUGGCGAACGGGUGAGUAACACGUGAGUAAACUGCCCCUUACUUUGGGGUAACUUCACGAAACUGGGGCUAAUAUCGGAUAGGAGCUCUUGCUGCCUGGUGGGGGUUGGAAAGUUUCGGCGGGUGGGGGUGGACUCGCGGGUUUUCUGCUUGUUGGUGGGGUAGUGGCUUUCCAGGGAUUUGACGGGUAGCCGGCCUGAGAGGGGGGCCGGGGAAGUUGGGAUGGAGGAACGGCCCAGGACGCUAGGGGGGGGAGCAGUGGGGAAUAUUGCACAAGGGGCGGAAGCGUGAUGCAGCAACGCCGGGUGCGGGAUGAGGGCCUUAGGGUGGGAAACAGCUUUCGCCUGUGACGAAGCGUGAGUGACGGUAAUGGGUAAAGAAGCACCGGCUAACUACGUG
Molecule: ribosomal RNA, 466 nt
Filed under: uncultured bacterium
Lineage: Bacteria
Description: partial 16S ribosomal RNA
Rfam family: Bacterial small subunit ribosomal RNA
Source: RNAcentral